GCCAGUGUGGUGUAGUGGUUUGAACAUUGGACUAUCACCCAGAGACCAGGGUUUGAAUCCCCGCUGUGUAA
Non-coding RNA from Phrynosoma platyrhinos (Desert horned lizard), 71 nucleotides. NCBI's taxonomy places the organism in Eukaryota, Metazoa, Chordata, Lepidosauria, Squamata, Phrynosomatidae. The record is from the annotation of a GenBank genome assembly.